GAUGAACGCUAGCGGCAGGCUUAACACAUGCAAGUCGAGGGGCAUCGCGGGGAGUAGCAAUACACUCUGGCGGCGACCGGCGGAAGGGUGCGUAACACGUGAGCGACAUGCCCGCAUCAGGGGGAUAACCGCUGGAAACGGCGACUAAUACCCCAUGGUCCCGGGAGGGUGCAUGCCCUAUCGGGUAAAGGGAACGACCGGAUGCGGAUUGGCUCGCGGCGCAUUAGCUAGUAGGCGGGGUAACGGCCCACCUAGGCGACGAUGCGUAGGGGCCCUGAGAGGGGGGUCCCCCACACUGGGACUGAGACACGGCCCAGACUCCUACGGGAGGCAGCAGUGAGGAAUAUUGGUCAAUGGGCGGAAGCCUGAACCAGCCAUGCCGCGUGAGGGAAAAGGCCCUACGGGUUUUCAACCUCUUUGACCUGGGAGCAAUAAGGACCGCGAGCCGGUCCGAUGAGAGUACCAGGAGAACAAGCAUCGGCUAACUCCGUGCCAGCAGCCGCGGUAAUACGGGGGAUGCGAGCGUUAUCCGGAUUCAUUGGGUUUAAAGGGUGCGCAGGCUGUGGGUCAAGUCAGCGGUGAAACCCCCGCGCUCAACGCGGGGCUUGCCGUUGAUACUGGUCCGCUGGAGUUCGUGCGCCGCCGGAGGAAUGUGUGGUGUAGCGGUGAAAUGCAUAGAUAUCACACAGAACACCGAUUGCGGAGGCAUCUGGCGAGCACGCGACUGACGCUGAGGCACGAAAGCGUGGGGAUCGAACAGGAUUAGAUACCCUGGUAGUCCACGCCGUAAACGAUGAUGGCUAGCCGUCGGUGCGCAAGCAUCGGUGGUCAAGGGAAACCGAUAAGCCAUCCACCUGGGGAGUACGGCCGCAAGGCUGAAACUCAAAGGAAUUGACGGGGGCCCGCACAAGCGGAGGAACAUGUGGUUUAAUUCGAUGAUACGCGAGGAACCUUACCCGGGCUCGAACGGCCGUUGGAUGCUCCAGAGACGGGGCAGUCUUCGGACAGCGGCCGAGGUGCUGCAUGGUUGUCGUCAGCUCGUGCCGUGAGGUGUCGGCUUAAGUGCCAUAACGAGCGCAACCCCUGCGUCCAGUUGCCAGCGAUACGGUCGGGGACUCUGGACGGACUGCCGCCGCAAGGUGCGAGGAAGGGGGGGAUGACGUCAAAUCAGCACGGCCCUUACGUCCGGGGCGACACACGUGUUACAAUGGGGGGGUACAGAGGGGAGCCAGGCCGCGAGGCCGAGCGGAUCCCGAAAGCCCCUCCCAGUUCGGAUCGGAGUCUGCAACCCGACUCCGUGAAGCUGGAUUCGCUAGUAAUCGCGCAUCAGCCAUGGCGCGGUGAAUACGUUCCCGGGCCUUGUACACACCGCCCGUCAAGCCAUGGGAGCCGGGAGCGCCUGAAGUCCGUGACCGCGAGGAGCGGCCUAGGGCGAGACCGGUGACUGGGGC
Molecule: ribosomal RNA, 1451 nt
Filed under: uncultured bacterium
Lineage: Bacteria
Description: 16S ribosomal RNA
Rfam family: Bacterial small subunit ribosomal RNA
Source: RNAcentral